ACGAACAGAACGAAAGCCUUUCAUAUAUGCGUGGGAAUAUGGCUCACGUGUCUCUACCGGGCCGCCGUAAACGGCCUGACUAUGAAGGCAGAAGACGCUGCU
Molecule: non-coding RNA, 102 nt
Filed under: Geobacillus thermodenitrificans
Lineage: Bacteria; Bacillati; Bacillota; Bacilli; Caryophanales; Anoxybacillaceae
Also listed under: 1 other name
Description: Guanine sequence
Rfam family: Purine riboswitch aptamer
About the family: Riboswitches are metabolite binding domains within certain messenger RNAs that serve as precision sensors for their corresponding targets. Allosteric rearrangement of mRNA structure is mediated by ligand binding, and this results in modulation of gene expression.
Source: RNAcentral